GACGAACGCUGGCGGCGUGCUUAACACAUGCAAGUCGAACGGAAAGGCCCUGCUUUUGUGGGGUGCUCGAGUGGCGAACGGGUGAGUAACACGUGAGUAACCUGCCCUUGACUUUGGGAUAACUUCAGGAAACUGGGGCUAAUACCGGAUAGGAGCUCCUGCUGCAUGGUGGGGGUUGUAAAGUUUCGGCGGUUGGGGAUGGACUCGCGGCUUAUCAGCUUGUUGGUGGGGUAGUGGCUUACCAAGGCUUUGACGGGUAGCCGGCCUGAGAGGGUGACCGGCCACAUUGGGACUGAGAUACGGCCCAGACUCCUACGGGAGGAAGCAGUGGGGAAUAUUGCACAAUGGGCGGAAGCCUGAUGCAGCAACGCCGCGUGCGGGAUGACGGCAUUAGGGCUGUAAACCGCUUUCGCCUGUGACGAAGCGUGAGUGACGGUAAUGGGUAAAGAAGCACCGGCUAACUACGUG
Molecule: ribosomal RNA, 468 nt
Filed under: uncultured bacterium
Lineage: Bacteria
Description: partial 16S ribosomal RNA
Rfam family: Bacterial small subunit ribosomal RNA
Source: RNAcentral